CCUUGGGAUAAUGUGGAUGUGGGAGAUGAGGUGGAGUCCUUCUCUUGGAAGGGACUCCACACCAAAUAAUUUUGGGAUUCCUCCGUUAUUAUGGGCAUUGAAGUGGAAGAGUCCACUUCACUUGGGACUCUUAAUUCUCUUUUAUUUCUAUGCAUUUGCUUUCCUCCACCGGCCAUAUGAUGGCUUUUGGAAAAUUGUAGGCACAGAAGUGGAGGAGUCCUUCUGCUUGAAGGCUCUUCCACACCCAAAACUUCUAUAUAAAGAAUUUUAUCUUUAUGGGAAGUAAUGGGACGUC
RNAcentral lists this long non-coding RNA (295 nucleotides) under Elaeis guineensis (African oil palm). Its description in RNAcentral is "long non-coding RNA (EGUI_LNC051940)". The record is from RNAcentral. Lineage: Eukaryota; Viridiplantae; Streptophyta; Magnoliopsida; Arecales; Arecaceae.